RNAcentral lists this long non-coding RNA (1081 nucleotides) under Hordeum vulgare. Its description in RNAcentral is "long non-coding RNA (HVUL_LNC000326)". Lineage: Eukaryota; Viridiplantae; Streptophyta; Magnoliopsida; Poales; Poaceae. The record is from RNAcentral.
UGCAUUGUGCAUGAAUCGAUGUGGCGUAUUUGUAAAACCAUGCCGUGAGGGAGACAUUCAUCCUGUUUUUCAAGGGUCUAUGUACCUCACAGCCUGUUAAGUUAGUUUCCAACCAUGAGACCCCGUUAAUUUAUGUGCAUCUCUUCUAAGAAUAGUAAAUUAUCCAGAUGGUUGUCAUUAUUACUCUUGAUUAGAAUAUAAACAACGGAACAUAAAAUAAUUAGAAUACACUCAUGCAUCUGCUGACCACCAACUAAUAACUGGGUUUAAAAAUGGUUUUUCACCACAAAGAUAAUCAAAGACAUUGGAAAUAAAAAUAUCAAGAGGAUAGGAAGUCUUGUGUUCUCUCCCCUGUUCCUUCGUGUAGGUUAUGCUUUCCGUUGCCCUACCUUUGCAUUUCCAUCUGCAUGAUUUGCUUCCAAUGGGCCUUGUUGUGACCUAGUCCAUGUAAUAUGAGCAAUUAUGAAAAUCCAAUGAGAAAUCACAAUAAGUAGCAAAUAGAAAUUCGAUGAGAUGGCAUAGGUCGGAAAGAGACAUGGAAAUCAAUGAAUGCAUGCAUGUCAACUUGUGGCGACCAUUAGUACAUCAGGAAUCUUGAGAUGGCAAGAACUUCUAAGCAAGGUGAUCAGAUGGAUCGAAGGCACAACUUUCAUGUGUUGAGUGGCGGCUGUGUACAACGAUCGUACAGAAGUGGAACAACACAUAGCUAUUUUACCUUGUGAAAAAAAUUGCAUCUAGAAAUUGCCUACAUCAGGCCCCAUUUGCUGAAUGGUUGGGUCUUCAAUGACGAAGGACGUGAAGGAUGGGUUCUGGGUGAUGGGAGAUGGGAUCUGGUGGGGGCAUAGGGACUGCAGCGCGCGGCUAGGGUUCAGAUAAUGGAGAUAAGUGUUUUCUAUUUUGAGAGGAGGAUCUCUAUAAUAUUAAACGGGAUCACCUAUUGUGUUCUGGCCGGAAUCACCUAUUGCCACACAUCAACAAACGUGAAUAAUAUUGAAAAGCCUAGAAGAAUAAGGAGAGAUUCCAUUAAACGUACGUGAGAUGAAUUCUCACUUUUUUAGGAAGAGAUGGGCUCUCAGUUUUG